This 63-nucleotide transfer RNA is filed under the name Raillietina tetragona. RNAcentral's name for it is "tRNA-Tyr". Lineage: Eukaryota; Metazoa; Platyhelminthes; Cestoda; Cyclophyllidea; Davaineidae. The record is from RNAcentral.
ACUAACUUAGCAUAUUAAUUAAUGCGGUAGAUUGUAAAUCUGUUUAAAACAUAUUUGUUAGUU